Molecule: unclassified non-coding RNA, 870 nt
Filed under: Hevea brasiliensis (rubber tree)
Lineage: Eukaryota; Viridiplantae; Streptophyta; Magnoliopsida; Malpighiales; Euphorbiaceae
Source: RNAcentral
GUGGAGAGUCCUAAUUUUAUUUUUGCACAAGCUGGCGUGGAGAGUCCCUUACAUUGAUCCAUCUUGGCUUUACACAAUAAAUCGCCUACAUACUUUGCUUGGGACAAUAACAUACCAUUGGUUGUUUGAACAACUUCAACUCCCAAAAAAUAGUCUAACAGGCCAAGUUCACGUACCAUGAAAGCAUCUUUUAGUGAUUGAAUUGUCUUGGAGAUGAAAGCAUUAUCAUUGCCUGUGAGCAAAAUGUCAUCAACAUAAACUAGACAAUAUAAUCGAGUAGGACCUUUAUGAUAAAUAAAGACGGAACUGUCUGCAUGCGAAGUGAUGAAAUUUUGCUGGAGCAAAGUACUGCGUAACUUGUGAUACCAUUGCCUGGGCGCUUGCUUUAGCCCAUAUAAGGACCGCUUAAGCUUACAAAAUCUUUCUUAUCUUGAUCAAUAAAGAACAAUGGUUGUUCCAUAUAAACAUAAUGAAGUAAAUCUCCAUGUAAAAAAGCAUUGGAGGCUUCUAGCUGGUGAACUGACCAUGCUUAAGUAACUGCCAUUGAUAGAACAACACGAAUAGCUGCUGGUUUGGCCAUAGGUGAGUAACUUUACUAAAAGUCAAUCCCUGGGCAUUGAGAAUAUCCUUUCAUGACCAAGCGAGCUUUAUAGCUAACCAAACUGCCGUCAGGUUUUUGCUUAAGGUGAAAAAUCCAUAUGCACCCAAUGAUAUUCUGAGCUUGAGUGUGAGGAACUACCUCCCAUGUGUUGGUUUUAAGAAGGGCAGUAAUCUCUUCGGUCAUGGCUUUGUGCCAGUUUUCAUUAAGUACAGCCUUUGAAUAGCAAGUAGGAAUAGGAGGUAAUUGAUGCACAGUGGAGUAAAUCUUCG